Long non-coding RNA from Drosophila hydei, 1133 nucleotides. RefSeq lists it as uncharacterized. The record is from RefSeq and is a predicted model, not a curated record. The transcript has 3 exons. NCBI's taxonomy places the organism in Eukaryota, Metazoa, Arthropoda, Insecta, Diptera, Drosophilidae.
AAUGAAAAGGCCCACAAAUCGAAAGUCAACGAAGAAUGUCUUGUGUUAUAAAAACUAAUGAUUGCCAAUUGGUUUUUACUGUUAUUGCCGCGCCCUGCUUCCGUGAUGGACGCAGAGGCGUAGCAACUGGAACUGGAAGUGGAAUUGGAAUCGCAUUUAAGCCGAAAGUUCUACGCAUUGUCUUGCAAUACGCAUAAUUUCCAGCCGCGUGCACUUGCAGGAAAAUCAUCUCGCUACGUCUUAAUUGUGUGCGCUUCCUUUCGCGAUGCUACAUUAAUUUCGUAGUAAUUCACGAGGUCUGCUUCGACUGAAGAAGAGUAGCUGCAUCCAUAGAAUCUAAGCCAGGCCUUCAACAAUUUCUAAUUUAUUGCAAUUAUGCGACGCAUGUCACACUCACUGCUGACCAUUGACCAGGACGCCGACACGUGACCAAUCUGCUAGCCCCGGGGCCACUGAUUGGAAAACACUAAACAGAUAGGCUAGUCGAACGGGCGGGCUGACCCAGCGACGGUCAGACAGCUGUCUGACCAUUCUAUAGAGAUUUAUUUUACGCUGAUAACACGCUUAAGUAAAUGCAGCACACACACUCCGUCGACGACUCCCAGCUCCCAGUUCGAGUUCGUACAAUUUAAAUGGCGAUUAAAUCUGUUGGCAUUGAUGGAUGUGUCCAAGGCGGCUGGCUGGCUGGCUGGCAGGCAGCCUGUUCUGUGGUCAGUCUGCAGGAUGCGACGCCGUGUUAACACUUUUGUACAAUUGCCAAUUUUUCGCCAGCGCCUGCUGAUGAGCUAUCCUCAACAACCGCCUGCUCGCCUGCCCGCCUGACUGUGUGGGUGGUUGGUUUGCCUGGUUGAUGGCCAGCGGUGGCUUUUGUGGUGUUGUUCUCGGCUGAACGGCUGUUGUUAUUGUCGCGAGUGGGUGGACAUUGAGUUGGGCAGGCAUGCGGCUACACUUCAAUAUUCAUUUGAACGCAUAAUUGAUAUUGACGAACAAUGUUGCCGUGUCGCUACAAUGUUUCAACUCCACUGUGAGAAUAAUAAGGCAGCAUUAAGAUUAUUCCAAAUAUAUUAUGCUUAUAUUAACUCAUAUUGAGACAAUCUCAACUAUAUGUUUACUACAUGCUAAGUAGCUUAACU